GAUGAACGCUGGCGGCGUGCUUAACACAUGCAAGUCGAACGAGGGUUAUCGGUUGAAGUUUUCGGAUGGAAACUGAUAAUUCCUAGCGGCGGACGGGUGAGUAACGCGUAGGCAACCUGCCCCUUGCAGAGGGAUAGCCUCGGGAAACCGGGAUUAAAACCUCAUAAUGCGUAGCAUAGACAUCUAUGUUACGCCAAAGAUUUAUCGGCAAGGGAUGGGCCUGCGUCUGAUUAGUUAGUUGGUGGGGUAACGGCCUACCAAGGCAGCGAUCAGUAGCCGACCUGAGAGGGUGAUCGGCCACAUUGGAACUGAGACACGGUCCAAACUCC
Molecule: ribosomal RNA, 329 nt
Filed under: uncultured Clostridiaceae bacterium
Lineage: Bacteria; Bacillati; Bacillota; Clostridia; Eubacteriales; Clostridiaceae
Description: bacterial SSU rRNA
Rfam family: Bacterial small subunit ribosomal RNA
Source: RNAcentral